GAUGAACGCUGGCGGCGUGCCUAACACAUGCAAGUCGAACGGAGUCCAGCCUUUAAGACCUUCGGGUCAAAGAGGGGAAGACUGAGUGGCGGACGGGUGAGUAACACGUGGGCAACCUGGCUCAUAGAGGGGGAUAACAGAGAGAAAUUUCUGCUAAUACCGCAUAAGCACACACUGCCGCAUGGCAGAGGGUGAAAAGAGAAUCGCUAUGAGAUGGACCCGCGUCUGAUUAGCCAGUUGGCAGGGUAAGAGCCUACCAAAGCGACGAUCAGUAGCCGACCUGAGAGGAUGAACGGCCACAUUGGGACUGAGACACGGCCCAAACUCCUACGGGAGGCAGCAGUGGGGGAUAUUGCACAAUGGGGGGAAACCCUGAUGCAGCGACGCCGCGUGAAGUGAAAGAAAGUAUUUUCGGUAUGUAAAAGCUUUAUCAAGCCAGGGAAAG
This 445-nucleotide ribosomal RNA is filed under the name Oribacterium sp. oral taxon 372. RNAcentral's name for it is "bacterial SSU rRNA". It matches the Rfam family "Bacterial small subunit ribosomal RNA", at positions 28 to 449 of the family's 1533-position model. The record is from RNAcentral. Lineage: Bacteria; Bacillati; Bacillota; Clostridia; Lachnospirales; Lachnospiraceae.